RNAcentral lists this ribosomal RNA (219 nucleotides) under uncultured bacterium. Its description in RNAcentral is "partial 16S ribosomal RNA". It matches the Rfam family "Bacterial small subunit ribosomal RNA", at positions 524 to 739 of the family's 1533-position model. The record is from RNAcentral.
UACAGAGGGUGCGAGCGUUAAUCGGAAUUACUGGGCGUAAAGCGUGCGCAGGCGGUUUUGUAAGUCCUGUCGUGAAAUCCCCGGGCUCAACCUGGGAAUUGCGAUGGAGACUGCAAGGCUGAGAAUCUGGCAGAGGGGGGUAGAAUUCCACGUGUAGCAGUGAAAUGCGUAGAGAUGUGGAGGAACACCGGAUGGCGAAGGCAGCCCCCUGGGUCAAGA